AACGAACGCUGGCGGCAGGCUUAACACAUGCAAGUCGAACGAGAAGCUGGAGCUUGCUCCAGUGGAAAGUGGCAGACGGGUGAGUAACGCGUGGCAACCUACCUUUUGGUACGGAACAACAGUUAGAAAUGACUGCUAAUACCGUAUAAGCCCUCCGGGGGAAAGAUUCAUCGCCGAUAGAUGGGGCCGCGUUAGAUUAGCUAGUUGGUGAGGUAAAAGCUCACCAAGGCGACGAUCUAUAGCUGGUCUGAGAGGAUGAUCAGCCACACUGGGACUGAGACACGGCCCAGACUCCUACGGGAGGCAGCAGUGGGGAAUAUUGGACAAUGGAGGCAACUCUGAUCCAGCCAUGCCGCGUGAAUGAUGAAGGCCUUAGGGUUGUAAAAUUCUUUCGCUAGGGAAGAUAAUGACGGUACCUAGUAAAGAAGCCCCGGCUAACUCCG
RNAcentral lists this ribosomal RNA (443 nucleotides) under uncultured Hyphomonadaceae bacterium. Its description in RNAcentral is "bacterial SSU rRNA". It matches the Rfam family "Bacterial small subunit ribosomal RNA", at positions 29 to 505 of the family's 1533-position model. Lineage: Bacteria; Pseudomonadati; Pseudomonadota; Alphaproteobacteria; Hyphomonadales; Hyphomonadaceae. The record is from RNAcentral.